This is a non-coding RNA of Cricetulus griseus (Chinese hamster), 1927 nucleotides long. Lineage: Eukaryota; Metazoa; Chordata; Mammalia; Rodentia; Cricetidae. The record is from RefSeq and is a predicted model, not a curated record.
AAACACCAUAACAGGAGAUGGCUAUGAAGACCCAUUGUUGAACAGAUCCCAAAUGUUGGAUGUCUAUCUAUUGACAGUACCAGCACACAUGACCACUGUGACUUCUGACAAAGCUGUCUCAAUGGACCUGAAUUUACUGUUUCCUUGAAGCCAAACAAGGCCCACCCAACAAGCUUGGCCAGGGAGUGAUCAACUAAGAGGAAGCCAGACAAGAGAGAUGGCCAGACUUGCCUGAAAUAAGAACCUGGGCUUUGAUGGCUGAACAACCCCAGUUUGGCAAGACUCAAUCUACAGCUUGGAGGGCAAGCCAGCCCAACUGACCUCUCCACCACCACCUGUUGUCUGUGAGUCCAGACAACAGGACUCACAAAUUUCUUGAUUAUGCUAUUGAAAUAAUAAAAAAGAGACAUCCAUAUGUACACAGAGACUUUGAUCAAUAUAUUUACCAAUGAAAAAACUGUAAUUAUCUGUUGUGUCAUGUGAUGGCAUAUAGAGACCAGUGAAAUGUGUGAAGUGGAGGAGAUGAAAGAGACCUUUUAAUUUUGGAAAUGAAGAGAGAUAGCUCUGAUGGAGAAAGCAAAAAGAGAUGGUCGUUAACAUCUUGAGAUUUCGAUGAUGCCCAAUGCGUCCAUUUCCUGGUCCCUGAGCAGAUGUGGGACUACAACAGGCACACGUGAUGCAGGACUCGGCAGCCAUCUCCAUGUUUCUGAAGCCUGUGGCACACCAAUGGAAGUGAAGACUAUGCAGCACAGGCACAGACAAGAUCUGACCAUGAAGUCUGUAUCAGACCAGUGGAAGGGACUUUUUUGUAGACUCAAGAAUCAACAAUCUGUCGUGGUAAGGAUGCUUUGGAUCAUACAGCAGUGCUUUGACUGAAUAAUAUGCCUUUCUGGAACAUGUCUAUUAUAGAAAGUAGCUCAGAAGGUUACAGAUACACUGAGAAAUGGGUAAAGUAUGCAGUGACCUUACAUGAAUCCACAUCUGCAUAUUUCUAACCUUAAGCAAGUAAAACCUUUGUGAAAUUAGCUAAGGACUAUAAACAGCCGAUCCUGGGUCAGGACCAUGUAAUUGGACCAAAGGAUGGCUUUAUGACUUUGUGCCAGCAAUGCAGAAAAGCAAGUUUUUUUUUCAUGUUUUCUCUAUAAUGAUGGCUGAAUCAGACAGGUCUUUUUGCACUCAUUCAAUGGUCAUAACUCUGAGAAACCCAUCCAUGUGGGGAACUAGGAGUCAAGACCUUGUUCCAACAUGAACUGGAGGAACAAGAGUCUGCUUGGUGUAUGCCUGUCCUGUGGGCAGAGCCAUCCUCAAAAGGCCUUUGGCGUGAUUUACUCCUGCCUCUGCUUGUUGUCAUGUUCAAAAAUACCUGGGAUGAAUCAGUAGACUUUUCACUAUAGCUUUCAGCAUGGGCUGGGCAAUUCCUUUAAAAAACCUAGAUCUGACUUCUUUGCCUGUCUAUUUGACAAAGGUGAAAGCUUACGAGCAUUUCUAUUCUACUAGAAGCAACAGAUAUUUUGAAAAAAGCCCACAGAUAAAAAAGCCAUCUUUUCUGAAGAGUUUAAAUUAAUAAUGGAGACCUAUCUUACCUUCAUAAGCAUCUGCUUAAGGUUAGCCUUCUGAAAACCUGCUUUCGAGAUUAUCUCUCCAUCAUCAUCAUUAACUGUCCUUUGUUGCUAAAAGGGUAACAAUGACCAAAUAAGUGCUAUAAAUGACUUCUGUCUUUUCAGUGAUGCAGCAUGCCUUGAAACAAUGACUUGUGUUCAUUUCAUCAAUUGGUAGCACACUACUCUUGAGUGAAUGGAAACAAGUGAAGAUGGAUCACUUCAUAGACAAUAAAAUUAUGAGUUAGAAUAGGCUGUGUGGAAUGAAUCCUGUUAAAUAAAUAAUAGGAUAAUCCUUUAAAUAAAUCAGUUAUUGUACGAUGCUCAGA